Uranotaenia lowii is the source of this 1008-nucleotide long non-coding RNA. RefSeq lists it as uncharacterized. Lineage: Eukaryota; Metazoa; Arthropoda; Insecta; Diptera; Culicidae. The transcript is spliced from 4 exons. The record is from RefSeq and is a predicted model, not a curated record.
UAAGAAAAAUUUCGAAAACGAUUUCAAAAACUCAAUUUUGAUAAAUAUAUUUCAAUUUGUCUUUUCAGGUUGACAAAAGAAGUUUGUUACCCUGCUUGAGACGCAUGCAUGGAAUAAGCUAAUCUACGGCUGACACCGAGUCUGAAUCAUCCUCUUUCAAGAGAUGGAACAACGGUAUCACUUCGUUAGUUCGUUGGAUCAGACGGGUGGCACUAACAGCAGCAGGAACGAAAAGUCCCUACAGUUCAGAAAUGUUUUCCUGCAACGGCGGUCACAUUCCGAUUUCUUUUAUCUUCGAUUUCCCACGAGGGCUUUUUGGUUAUGUUUGAUGAACUUCAACAAACGAUUGCAUGUCUACGGAGGUCUACGGUUUAUAACUCCACUACUCCGGGAAAUCAGCUGGUCGAUGUAUGACAGUUGUUUGGCUCUCGAAGCAAUGGAGCCCGUGUAAGACCGUGUUGGAGGAGCUGGAGGUGAAUGAGAAAUCAUGACCGUUUCUUUUGUAAGUGGGCACCAAAAUGUUCCCCAUGUACAAAAAGGUCAUCAAGUAUCUGAUGGAUAUGUCGACGAUCAAGGAGCACCUGCAAUGGUCUAUAAAUCACAGGAUUUCUUUAAUGAACGUUCUGCUCAUCUUUGACAACUGUGAAAUGGUCAACGAUGACGAUUCGCCGGUGGGCACAGCCGGUCAUAGAAUGUGCCAUCAUGCGUUGGGCUGAACUGACCGAGAAGCCGGCCACGCAACAACCACAACGACAGCAAUCAUCAUAACAGCCGGAUCAACAACACUCCAGCAGUCAACCGUAUCGAUUAAUUUAUAAGAAGUUAGUUUAAACAGUUUGACGUUAAAAAUUUAGGUAGUUAUAUUGAAACUCGGUAAAAUAGUAGAAAACCAAGACCUAAAAUGACCUCCAAAUGUAAAUAAUAGGACUUUUUGAAUAGCUCAUGUAAAAAACUGUAGGCAAAUAGAAUUGUAGCAUUGAGACUACAUAAGAAAAUUCUCAAAAUGAA